RNAcentral lists this long non-coding RNA (737 nucleotides) under Nicotiana benthamiana. RNAcentral describes it as "long non-coding RNA (NBEN_LNC026481)". Lineage: Eukaryota; Viridiplantae; Streptophyta; Magnoliopsida; Solanales; Solanaceae. The record is from RNAcentral.
ACGCAAAUACGAGCAUACAGUCUACUUUGGAUUCAAUUUCAAAUCAGAAGCUCAUUGUAAAUUUAACUCUCUAAAUGAACAUGAUAGGAAAAUCUGAAUUGAAUAUACUAACAGCUGACAUUACUGCUAACCGCUCGUAUAAGCCUAAAAUAACAGUCCGAAUGUCUAGUUAUUACAAAGCAAUUAUCUCAAUUAUGAUAAGCAUCAGAAUUAAAAUAAAACAGUAAGAAUUCGUGGAUAAACUUGUAACAGUUAUCUUUAAGCACCUAGUUUAGGCUUCUACAUCACUGGAGAUCGAAAAUGUACCUGGAAUUGAGGUAAAAUGAGAAAGUAGACAGUCAGUCAAACAGCAACACAAACAGGUGUAAACUCACCAGGAAAACACAGCAGUUCUAGAUCAAAACCCAGGGAAUAAGGACAAUUGUAGCAGGCUUCAAAAUGACUUCAAAUAACCAAAUAAACCAAUUAAAGUUGAAAAGCAGGCCUGGAUGAACUACUUCAAUCGUAAAUCAGCAGAUCUGGAGGAAGUUUUAUACUAUUUUUGUAUUGACUUUCAGGAUUUGAUUUCUAGGAUCUAAUUUAUAUCUAAACUAUCUACUUUCUAUCAGAAUUUUGGAUUUUUCAAUAUGUUUUUCGGUAGUUUUGAUCUGAAACGUUUUCUGAAUUUUCAGAGUAUUUUCUCUCUAGACUUCUAAGAACUGAUUUGGAUUUUUUUGAAUUUUAAAUUUUGGAAUCUC